GAAGACUAUGGAAGUACAUGUAUCAGCACAAAACAAAAUCUGGCACUCUGACCUUUAAGUAGUCUAGAUAAGGCUUGUGUUGCACUCCAAUACAAAAGCAAACCAAACCCCAAACCUUAUGCUGAAAUGUAUCAGUUUCUGCUUAUGAUGGGUUUUUCCGGGACUGAAUUCUGCCUGUACUUGGUCCAUAGGCUGAGCGGCACAUCCGGAGGGUUUACAACAAAAAUCAACUUCGUGUGAAUUCCUGAUGUGGGUAUGAGGGGAGAGAGAGGUUUUUAAAUUGGCAGCUGCUGGUUAUUGAGUUUGAAAUGAUAGGCUGCAUGAGUAAAACCUCGAUAACCGGUCAGACCUUUAUCACGUGCUGGUGAAGAUUUGUUACUUAUUCUGUAGUUUUGUGCUGAACGAAUAAUCUGAAUAUCCCGGGAUAGCAAAGCUCCACUCGAGCACUAAGCCUUCUGAAUGAAUGGCAAUGAAUAAUAACCCAUGUACGUGUUCUGCCCAUGUGAGGCUGGUGAUUUCUUGUUUUCAUUUUCAAUGCAUUUGUCCAAAAUGUGAAAAGGUAUUUUCGUAGUAGGUGUGUUAUGGGUUCCAGCAGGCAGCUGGGGAUGGAGCGGGUGUUCGGAGAAGGAGGGACCGCCACGACUGAGGCUUUCUCCCAAAUAUGAGAUUAAUGCAGUCGUGAUGUUACCCGGUUUUCUCCUCCUGCAGCAAGAAAGACCUUGGGGAGGUUUGGUGCACCAUUGGGUUCAUAUAAAAAGGCAUGUCUCUCACAUAUACUGUGGCGCGUUUUGGAAGUGGAUGUUUACGCCCAGUCGAGUUUUUUGUCAUGUUGAUUUUACAGGUGGUGGUGGUGUUAGGAGAUGAUAUCUGUGCCCUGCCAUCACCCCCUUCGCACCCGCUCAGAGCUUAUGGAGCAAUUCAAUUCCCAGUAGUCCACCAUCAACCAGGUUUCAGUGUCAUCCUGCUGAAGUCUCUGGAGGGAAAAUGUGUACAAUUCCCUGUUUAGGAGGUUGAUGAAAGCUUUUGAAAACUCCUUAUCGUUGCUUAAAACCUGAAUACUCAACAUAAGGGGCUUUUCCAGCCUUUGGGUGACCAGCUCCUUCCCCUCUGAAACCAGCGGAAAUUUGAUGGAGCUCCGGGUACUUCCAAAAACGUGUUGCCCACCUUUAAGAUUCUUUUCAAGUAGGCAUUAAUGUGUCUAAUCAGAUAUUUAUCAUAAUUUGAAUUCUUUUCUAACAGAGUGGCCUAGUGUUCAUGUGGACCAGCUAUUUUCCCACGCAACCUUGACAUGGUUUUAUUUAUUUUUAUUUAAUCUGUUGAGAACUGUAUUUAUGUCCAACCAGACCAUUGAUCACUUUUAGUCCGGACCCACCUGCACACUGCAUGGCCACACUCAAUCCAAAUGCUAUUACCUGCCAACGUUAUUAACCAUAACGAGAAAAGUUGGGGAGGCAGAGUUGGGAACCAAGAGGAUAAUCUGGACUUUGGUUUGGAAACUAAAACUAGUUGAUCUGUUUUAACUUUAAGGAAAAAAAAAAAAAGAUUAAAAAAAAAAGA
Molecule: long non-coding RNA, 1557 nt
Organism: Strigops habroptila (Kakapo)
Lineage: Eukaryota; Metazoa; Chordata; Aves; Psittaciformes; Psittacidae
Source: Ensembl